UUAUGCUCCUUCGACAUGAAGGCCUCCUAUGAGAAAAGGAAGGUUUAUCUUACACUGAUGAAACUCAUUACUCAUUGGACCUAUGAGUUAGAAUAUAGGAUAUUUUACAAAAUAGUCUCUUAGCUAUGUCAAAAUACAUAACUUGAUCCUUUUAUUUUCAAAAUUUUAUGAUUAGUUCCUAAUAUUUAUUAUUUUUUUAAUCGAUAGAUGGA
Molecule: unclassified non-coding RNA, 212 nt
Filed under: Hevea brasiliensis (rubber tree)
Lineage: Eukaryota; Viridiplantae; Streptophyta; Magnoliopsida; Malpighiales; Euphorbiaceae
Source: RNAcentral